CGGGCUAUAGCGCAGUUGGUAGCGCGCAUGCAUGGGGUGCAUGAGGCCGUGGGUUCAAGUCCCACUAGCCCGA
Molecule: transfer RNA, 73 nt
Filed under: Candidatus Parcubacteria bacterium
Lineage: Bacteria; Candidatus Parcubacteria
Description: tRNA-Pro
Rfam family: tRNA
About the family: Transfer RNA (tRNA) molecules are approximately 80 nucleotides in length.
Source: RNAcentral